CUUGCUGCUCCCCACAAUGCCUGUCCUGACCUGUUGGAGGGAUGGAGAGAAAAGCAGAAAUCCUGGAUUAAAAAUCACUGCUUUAGUUUUAAUGCAAAUAUUCUGUGUUACAGCAUCCAGGCUGGAAUUGGCUGUAAGAGCUGAUUUAGUCACCCAAGCCCACAUUCAUGAUUCAGGUUUUUUCUUUAUCUCCAGUAAAAAGAAAUAAGCAGCUCAACAGACUUGUGCAUCCCUUCAGGAUACGGUUCCAAGCAGGUUAUUUUUUUCUGGAAAUAGCCAUUGCUUAGCAUUUCAAGAUAAUAGGAAGCAUGAUUACCAUCAAAAGGAAAAAACACCCUCAGACACCAGCCAUGCUAAGCAGCUGCAGUAGUGAACCUUGGGAAAAACAUUUUGUGAAGAAGAACACUGAUCUGGAAACAAACUCUAUGUAUGCAGAUGUGCAUGGAUACAUUCUCUUCUAAAAAAGUCUUCAAGAUGGUCCCUGGUGCUGUGUGUGUUUCUCUCCUGCAGGAUUCCUCCUCCAGCCCCCAGCCCCAGCCAGGGCACAGCACAGCAGCACCUUCCAUUCC
This is a long non-coding RNA of Oenanthe melanoleuca, 569 nucleotides long. RefSeq lists it as uncharacterized. The transcript is spliced from 3 exons. NCBI's taxonomy places the organism in Eukaryota, Metazoa, Chordata, Aves, Passeriformes, Muscicapidae. The record is from RefSeq and is a predicted model, not a curated record.